ACAAAGAUACCCUUAAGAGUAUAACGCAUCUGCUGAAGUACAUCAGCGACCUCCCAGAUAUAGGGUGCAAAAAUCAUAAACUGCUACUAUAUGACAAGAUAUCCUCAUUCUUACAUUUUAAAGGGCAGAAUGGCGACAUGGGUAUUCAACAUUCUCCCAGGUAGUCCCAGGUUUCAGAAUAUAAGCAGAAAAAAUUACCAUCAGCAGCCUGAGAUCAUUAUUCACCUAAUCAUAUAUGGUAUGCAUAAAAAAGGCAAGUCCUUAGAUUAGUGAAUACCUCGUGACCAUCAUGGCAAGAAAGGCUACAAGCUGUGCAAACCCCAGCAUUCCCAUCUGGUGUGCAUGUCAAACAAGAAAAAAUAGCUUGUCUCUUCAUAUAACCUUUACUAUAGGUGCACUCCUUGCCUUCAUCACCACCUAAGACCAGAUCCGCCUCCUACACCAAGAUGAUUUAUCCCCCCAAAAAUAAUCAAGCAUAUACUGGGAUAAAAUAACAGUCAAAUUCAAAACAGCACAAUCAACUGACAUUUCAAACAUUUUGUAAUAGAUUAAGGUUCAUAUCUUUCUGAAAAAUGAAUUCUCUUUUUUUUUUUUAAAAAAUAGCUUGUCUCUUCAUAUAACCUUUACUAUAGGUGCACUCCUUGCCUUCAUCACCACCUAAGACCAGAUCCGCCUCCUACAUCAAGAUGAUUUAUCCCCCCAAAAAAAAUCAAGCAUUGUCAAAUUCAAAACAACACGAUCAACUCACGUUUCAAACAUUUUGUAAUAGAUUAUGGUUCAUAUCUUUCUGAAAAAUAAAUGCUCUUUAGGGGGGAAAGGGGGGUUCAACCUGUACAUAUUUGGCCCCAAAAAACCGUGCCACGCCUCCCCCCACAAAAGGAAAACCCAUGCUAAUUUGAUAGCUACCGCAUUAUCUUAUCACGGGACAUGCAAAUGAACAAAUCACGUUUAGCCCGUUAAAAAUUCUUUAAGUGAAAUUCUGAAUAUAGAAAGCAUUUAGUAUAAAAUAAGAGAGUACAAAUUAGAGCUGCA
Molecule: long non-coding RNA, 1032 nt
Filed under: Nicotiana benthamiana
Lineage: Eukaryota; Viridiplantae; Streptophyta; Magnoliopsida; Solanales; Solanaceae
Description: long non-coding RNA (NBEN_LNC036077)
Source: RNAcentral